AUUUCUUGGACCGCUCCCAUGGCACAUGGAGGUUCCCAGGCUAGGGGUUAAAUCGGAGCUGCAGCCACCGGCCUACGCCAGAGCCACAGCAAUGUGGGAUCCGAGACGCGUCUGCAACCUACACCACAGCUCACGGCAACGCCGGAUGGUUAACCCACUGAGCAAGCGCAGGGACCGAACCCGCAACUUCAUGGUUCCUAGUUGGAUUCGUUAACCACUGGGCCACGACAGGAACUCCUAUUUAGCUUUUUGUUUUAACUAGAUAUUAAACACACGUAAAUGCUUGUUUGAAACUUGAAAAAUCCUGCAGGGAUCGUGGAAGUUGGUGCAGGAAAACACAGUAGAGCAACUGAACAAAUAUCUGUUGUGAGAUUUACCGUCUGCCCAGGGGACGCCUGAAAGCACUUCCUUAGCAAAGCUCUUCCUUCACCUAUGAGGUAAUAAUGACCAGGGAAUUGCCAAAGCCCUCAAGCCAAAGAGCAGGUGACAUCAACUUUAUCCUGAGCAAUUUAAAUCUAUCUGCGGUGCCAUGUUCCCCAGAAGGGGCCUAGACGAAAAACAAGAGUCAACUGUGUUUUCCUUUAUGGUUCUUUUCUACCCUUAGCAGCUGCCCCUCUAAAAAAAAAAGAUGAAACUUAAGCUUUGUCUAUGGAGAUUACUUUCACAGUUAGGAUUUUUUUAGUCCCAUUUAGUUGCUACUGUCUUAUCUCUGAGCCAGCUAUCUUUGUAGUAAAAUUCCUAAGCCCAACAGGUUUUGAAUUUCCAUCUGUUGUGUAAUAAAUUAAAUUAAUAUGUCAUAUGACUUAAAAAGGCUUUUGUCCUGGGUUCCUGGAAAGGAGCUUCCAAACUUGGAACUGCCUGAGGGAAAGGAGUAUCUUUGUUAUUUACUGUAGGUCCUCAGACUACACCUGAAUUUAGGCAAAUGAAGAACUCAAAGGGGGUCCCCAGCCAGUUUCAGGAGGGGGCCAGCAGUGCUAAAAAGAGCAACCCUGGGAUUAGAAGGGUGGGACUUUGAGUCUUGUGACAUCAGCCUGACCUCUGGAGAGAGAAAUGGGAUUAAGGAUUGAAUUCAACUAUUUAGCCAAUGAUUCAAUAAAUCAUGCCUAUGCAAUGAAACCCCAAUUAAAAACUUCGGAUACCAAGGCUCUGGUGAGGUUCCUGAUGGAGGAACAAAUUAAAGUCCCUGGAAGGCAUUGUCUCCUGAUUUUAAGGAGAGAGCAGUGGAAGAAGCUCUGUGUUCAAGACCCUUCCAGACCUUGUCCUAUCUGUCUCUUCAUUUGGCUGGUUCUGAUUUGUAUCAUUUAUAAUAAAACUGUAAACAUUAGUGCCUUCCUCAGUUCUGUGGGUCAUUUUAGAGAAUUAUCAAACCUGAGGGGGUUGUAGGAAACCCGAAUUUACUUAUAGUCAGCUGUUCAGAAUAACCACACAAUGGCCAUGUUUUAUUCAGCAAGAUAAAAUGUCAAGGAGUUCUCGUCAUGGCUCGGUGGUAACGAACCGAAUUAGUAACCAUGAGGACACAGGUUCGAUCACUGGCCUUGCUCAGUGGGUUAAGGAUCCAGCAUUGCUAUGAGCUGUAGUAUAGGUCACAGAUGCAGCUCGGAUCCCACGUUGCUGUGGCUGUGGCUAGGCUGGCGGCUACAGCUCUGAUUGGACCCUUAGCCUGGGAAUCUCCAUGUGCUAAAGGUGCGGCCCUAAAAAGACAAAAAUUGUGGAGAGAGGAUUAAGAUGGUGGAAUAGAAGGACUGGAACUCAACUGCUCUCCUAAAAACAACAAAAUUCACAACUAAAGGCUGAGCAAUCUCCACCCAAAUGGACCAGAAACCUUAAAAAAUAUACCCUACUCAGUAGAAAAAGAGGAGGCCACAUCAAGAGGUAGGAGGGGCAAUUUCGUGAUAUAAACAACCCCAUACAUCCAGGGUGGGAAGCUCCAGAGACUAAAAACCAACUGGUUCACAGAGACUCACCUAUAGGAGUGAAAGUUCUGAGCCCCACAUCAAACCCUCAUGUGCAGGGAUCCAGAACUGGGAGAAAGAGCCCCUGGAGCAUCUGGCAUUGAAGGCCAGUGGGGCUUGUGUGCAGGAGCUCCACAGGACUGGGGGAAAUGGAGACCCCAUUCUUAAAAGGUGCACACGGACUUUCACGUGCACUGGGUCCCAGGGCAGAGC
Molecule: long non-coding RNA, 2165 nt
Filed under: Sus scrofa (pig)
Lineage: Eukaryota; Metazoa; Chordata; Mammalia; Artiodactyla; Suidae
Description: lncRNA (ENSSSCG00055027060.1)
Source: RNAcentral